UACAGAGGGUGCGAGCGUUAAUCGGAAUUACUGGGCGUAAAGCGCGCGUAGGCGGCUUUGCAAGUCGGGUGUGAAAUCCCCAGGCUUAACCUGGGAACUGCAUUCGAGACUGCAUUGCUAGAGUAUGGGAGAGGGAAGUGGAAUUUCCGGUGUAGCGGUGAAAUGCAUAGAUAUCGGAAGGAACAUCAGUGGCGAAGGCGGCGACCUGGGCCAAUACUGACGCUGAGGCACGAAGGUCAGGGGAGCAAACGGG
This 253-nucleotide ribosomal RNA is filed under the name uncultured bacterium. RNAcentral describes it as "partial 16S ribosomal RNA". It matches the Rfam family "Bacterial small subunit ribosomal RNA", at positions 524 to 776 of the family's 1533-position model. The record is from RNAcentral.